UGCGCUGUAGAGCAGCUAUGGUAGCUCGUCAGGCUCAUGCCCUGAAGGUCGUAGGUUCGAGUCCUACUGGCGCUA
Molecule: transfer RNA, 75 nt
Filed under: Scytosiphon lomentaria
Lineage: Eukaryota; Phaeophyceae; Ectocarpales; Scytosiphonaceae
Description: tRNA-Met
Rfam family: tRNA
About the family: Transfer RNA (tRNA) molecules are approximately 80 nucleotides in length. Their secondary structure includes four short double-helical elements and three loops (D, anti-codon, and T loops). Further hydrogen bonds mediate the characteristic L-shaped molecular structure. tRNAs have two regions of fundamental functional importance: the anti-codon, which is responsible for specific mRNA codon recognition, and the 3' end, to which the tRNAs corresponding amino acid is attached (by aminoacyl-tRNA synthetases). tRNAs cope with the degeneracy of the genetic code in two manners: having more than one tRNA (with a specific anti-codon) for a particular amino acid; and 'wobble' base-pairing, i.e. permitting non-standard base-pairing at the 3rd anti-codon position.
Source: RNAcentral